UACGGGGGGGGUAAGCGUUGUUCGGAAUUACUGGGCGUAAAGGGCUCGUAGGCGGCCAACUAAGUCGGACGUGAAAUCCCUCAGCUUAACUGGGGAACUGCGUCCGAUACUGGAUGGCUUGGAUUUGGGAGAGGGAUGCGGAAUUCCAGGUGUAGCGGUGAAAUGCGUAGAUAUCAGGAAGAACACCAAUGGCGAAGGCAGCUCUCUGGGACGGUACUGACGCUGAGACGCGAAAGCGUGGGGAGCGAACAGG
This 253-nucleotide ribosomal RNA is filed under the name uncultured bacterium. Its description in RNAcentral is "partial 16S ribosomal RNA". It matches the Rfam family "Bacterial small subunit ribosomal RNA", at positions 524 to 776 of the family's 1533-position model. The record is from RNAcentral.